This 406-nucleotide ribosomal RNA is filed under the name uncultured bacterium. Its description in RNAcentral is "bacterial SSU rRNA". It matches the Rfam family "Bacterial small subunit ribosomal RNA", at positions 976 to 1381 of the family's 1533-position model. The record is from RNAcentral.
GGGGUUUGACAUGUCGAUGACGCAGGCAGAGAUGUCUGUUUCUUUCGGGACGUCGACACAGGUGCUGCAUGGCUGUCGUCAGCUCGUGUCGUGAGAUGUUGGGUUAAGUCCCGCAACGAGCGCAACCCUUGUCUCUAGUUACCAGCGAGUAAUGUCGGGGACUCUAGAGAGACUGCCGGUGUUAAACCGGAGGAAGGUGGGGAUGACGUCAAGUCCUCAUGGCCCUUAUGCCCAGGGAUGCACACGUGCUACAAUGCCCGGUACAAAGCGACGCGAGACCGCGAGGUGGAGCAAAUCGCAAAAAAGCGGGCUAAGUUCGGAUCGCAGUCUGCAACUCGACUGCGUGAAGUUGGAAUCGCUAGUAAUCGCGUAUCAGCUAUGACGCGGUGAAUAUGUUCCUGAGCCU